CCCCACUGCUAUCGGGAUGGGACUAAGACAUGCUAGUCGUGCGUCUCCAAGCCAUGGCGGAGACGCGGCGCACAGCUCAGUAACACGUGGCUAACCUGCCCUUAGGACAGGGACAACCCCGGGAAACUGGGGCUAAUCCCUGAUAGGUGAGGGUUCCUGGAAUGGGCCCUCGCCGAAAGGGCGCCUAGACCAUGCUUCUAGGCGCUGCCCAAGGAUGGAGCCGCGGCCGAUCAGGUUGUUGGUGAGGCAACGGCUCACCAAGCCUUUAACCGGUACGGGCCGUGAGAGCGGGAGCCCGGAGAUGGGUACUGAGACAAGGACCCAGGCCCUACGGGGCGCAGCAGUCGCGAAAACUCCGCAAUACGCGAAAGCGUGACGGGGCUAUCCCGAGUGCCGUCCGCUGAGGAUGGCUUUUCCCUAGUGUAUAAAGCUGGGGGAAUAAGGAGAGGGCAAGCCUGGUGUCAGCCGCCGCGGUAAUACCAGCUCUCCGAGUGGUGGGGAUGCUUAUUGGGCCUAAAGCAUUCGUAGCCGGUUGGGCAAGUCCUCCGUUAAAUCCAGCGAUUCAAUCGUUGGACUGCGGGGGAUACUGCCCGGCUUGGGGGCGGAAGAGGCCGACGGUAUUCUCGGGGUAGGGGUGAAAUCCUAUAAUCCCGGGAGGACCACCAGUGGCGAAGGCUGUCGGCUAGAACGCGCCCGACGGUGAGGGAUGAAAGCUGGGGGAGCGAACCGGAUUAGAUACCCGGGUAGUCCCAGCUGUAAACGAUGCAGGCUAGGUGUUGGCGCGGCUACGUGCCGCUCCAGUGCCGCAAGGAAGCCGUUAAGCCUGCCGCCUGGGAAGUACGGCCGCAAGGCUGAAACUUAAAGGAAUUGGCGGGGGAGCACCACAAGGGGUGAAGGCUUGCGGUUU
Molecule: ribosomal RNA, 907 nt
Filed under: uncultured archaeon
Lineage: Archaea
Description: bacterial SSU rRNA
Rfam family: Archaeal small subunit ribosomal RNA
Source: RNAcentral